AUGUUGGAAACCCUAACAACACAACAACGCGCCAUUCCGAUAAAUUCACAAAGUAAUGAAACAAAUCAUUUUCCUCUCUUCAACGCAUAUUCUCACCGGUGGACUUGGAAACAAGAUAAUCAGACACAAAAACUUCACAAUAUCACACACAAAGCCAAAACCCGGCAACCCCAACCCCAAUUUUGUGAUUCUCAUUAUGAUUUGAGGGAUUACAAUUACAUGGUUGAUAAAGCGUAA
This is a non-coding RNA of Vicia faba (fava bean), 237 nucleotides long. The record is from the annotation of a GenBank genome assembly. NCBI's taxonomy places the organism in Eukaryota, Viridiplantae, Streptophyta, Magnoliopsida, Fabales, Fabaceae.